UGAGGAAUCUUGCGCAAUGGGGGAAACCCUGACGCAGCAACGCCGCGUGAGUGAAGAAGGCCUUCGGGUCGUAAAGCUCUGUCGGGUGGGAAGAAACGUAUGGAGGUAAAUAAUCUUCAUACUUGACGGUACCGCCAAAGGAAGCACCGGCUAACUCCGUGCCAGCAGCCGCGGUACUACGGGGGGUGCAAGCGUUGUUCGGAAUUAUUGGGCGUAAAGAGCGUGUAGGCGGCGUGAUAAGUCAGAUGUGAAAGCCCUGGGCUUAACCCAGGAAGUGCAUUUGAAACUGGCAUGCUUGAGUACGGGAGAGGGAAGAGGAAUUCCUGGUGUAGAGGUGAAAUGCGUAGAUAUCAGGAGGAACACCGGUGGCGAAUGCGACUUCCUGGCCCGAUACUGACGCUGAGACGCGAGAGCGUGGGGAGCAAACA
RNAcentral lists this ribosomal RNA (428 nucleotides) under uncultured prokaryote. Its description in RNAcentral is "bacterial SSU rRNA". It matches the Rfam family "Bacterial small subunit ribosomal RNA", at positions 355 to 774 of the family's 1533-position model. The record is from RNAcentral.